CACUUACAGAUGGACCCGCGGCGCAUUAGCUAGUUGGUGAGGUAACGGCUCACCAAGGCGACGAUGCGUAGCCGACCUGAGAGGGUGAUCGGCCACACUGGGACUGAGACACGGCCCAGACUCCUACGGGAGGCAGCAGUAGGGAAUCUUCCGCAAUGGACGAAAGUCUGACGGAGCAACGCCGCGUGAGUGAUGAAGGUUUUCGGAUCGUAAAGCUCUGUUGUUAGGGAAGAACAAGUGC
Molecule: ribosomal RNA, 241 nt
Rfam family: Bacterial small subunit ribosomal RNA